This 505-nucleotide ribosomal RNA is filed under the name uncultured bacterium. RNAcentral's name for it is "partial 16S ribosomal RNA". It matches the Rfam family "Bacterial small subunit ribosomal RNA", at positions 28 to 507 of the family's 1533-position model. The record is from RNAcentral.
GACGAACGCUGGCGGCGUGCCUAAUACAUGCAAGUAGAACGCACAGUUUAUACCGUAGCUUGCUACACCAUAAACUGUGAGUUGCGAACGGGUGAGUAACGCGUAGGUAACCUGCCUGGUAGCGGGGGAUAACUAUUGGAAACGAUAGCUAAUACCGCAUAAUAUUGAUUAUUGCAUGAUAAUUGAUUGAAAGAUGCUAUUGCAUCACUACCAGAUGGACCUGCGUUGUAUUAGCUAGUAGGUGAGGUAACGGCUCACCUAGGCGACGAUACAUAGCCGACCUGGGAGGGUGAUCGGCCAAACUGGGACUGAGACACGGCCCAGACUCCUACGGGAGGCAGCAGUAGGGAAUCUUCGGCAAUGGACGAAAGUCUGACCGAGCAACGCCGCGUGAGUGAAGAAGGGUUUCGGAUCGUAAAGCUCUGUUGUAAGAGAAGAACGGGUGUGAGAGUGGAAAGUUCACACUGUGACGGUAUCUUACCAGAAAGGGACGGCUAACUACGUG